AAUGGGCGAAAGCCUGAUCCAGCGACGCCGCGUGUGUGAAGAAGGCCUGCGGGUUGUAAAGCACUUUUAGUGGGGAUGAAAAGCCUAGAGCUAAUACCUCUGGGUCUUGACCUAACCCACAGAAAAAGCACCGGCUAACUCUGUGCCAGCAGCCGCGGUAAUACAGAGGGUGCGAGCGUUAAUCGGAAUUACUGGGCGUAAAGCGUGCGUAGACGGUUAUUUAAGUCGGGUGUGAAAGCCCCGGGCUCAACCUGGGAAUUGCAUUCGAGACUGGAUAGCUAGGGUACGGUAGAGGGAAGUGGAAUUUCCGGUGUAGCGGUGAAAUGCGUAGAUAUCGGAAGGAACAUCAGUGGCGAAAGCGACUUCCUGGACCAGUACCGACGUUCAGGCACGAAAGCGUGGGGAGCAAA
RNAcentral lists this ribosomal RNA (410 nucleotides) under uncultured bacterium. Its description in RNAcentral is "bacterial SSU rRNA". It matches the Rfam family "Bacterial small subunit ribosomal RNA", at positions 370 to 772 of the family's 1533-position model. The record is from RNAcentral.